GUAAGGAAUAUUGGACAAUGGGCGCAAGCCUGAUCCAGCCAUGCCGCGUGUGUGAAGAAGGCCUUCGGGUUGUAAAGCACUUUUGUCCGGGAAGAAAUCUUCCAGGUUAAUACCCUGGGAGGCUGACGGUACCGGAAGAAUAAGCACCGGCUAACUUCGUGCCAGCAGCCGCGGUAAUACGAAGGGUGCAAGCGUUACUCGGAAUUACUGGGCGUAAAGCGUGCGUAGGUGGUUCGUUAAGUCUGCCGUGAAAGCCCCGGGCUCAACCUGGGAAUGGCGGUGGAUACUGGCGGGCUAGAGUGCGGUAGAGGGUGGUGGAAUUCCCGGUGUAGCAGUGAAAUGCGUAGAGAUCGGGAGGAACAUCUGUGGCGAAGGCGGCCACCUGGACCAGCACUGACACUGAGGCACGAAAGCGUGGGGAGCAAACAGGAUUAGAUACCCGAGUAGUCC
This 450-nucleotide ribosomal RNA is filed under the name uncultured bacterium. RNAcentral describes it as "partial 16S ribosomal RNA". It matches the Rfam family "Bacterial small subunit ribosomal RNA", at positions 354 to 796 of the family's 1533-position model. The record is from RNAcentral.